Molecule: ribosomal RNA, 253 nt
Filed under: uncultured bacterium
Lineage: Bacteria
Description: partial 16S ribosomal RNA
Rfam family: Bacterial small subunit ribosomal RNA
Source: RNAcentral
UACGUAGGCAGCAAGCGUUGUUCGGAAUUACUGGGCGUAAAGGGUGUGUAGGUGGCGCGCUAAGUCGGGUGUGAAAUUUCGGAGCUUAACUCCGAAACUGCAUUCGAUACUGGCGUGCUUGAGGACUGGAGAGGAGACUGGAAUUCAUGGUGUAGCAGUGAAAUGCGUAGAGAUCAUGAGGAAGACCAGUGGCGAAGGCGGGUCUCUGGACAGUUCCUGACACUGAGACACGAAGGCCAGGGGAGCAAACGGG